Molecule: ribosomal RNA, 492 nt
Filed under: uncultured bacterium
Lineage: Bacteria
Description: partial 16S ribosomal RNA
Rfam family: Bacterial small subunit ribosomal RNA
Source: RNAcentral
AGUGAACGCUGGCGGUAGGCCUAACACAUGCAAGUCGAACGGCAGCACAGUAAGAGCUUGCUCUUACGGGUGGCGAGUGGCGGACGGGUGAGGAAUACAUCGGAAUCUACUUUUUCGUGGGGGAUAACGUAGGGAAACUUACGCUAAUACCGCAUACGACCUACGGGUGAAAGCAGGGGAUCUUCGGACCUUGCGCGAUUGAAUGAGCCGAUGUCGGAUUAGCUGGUUGGCGGGGUAAAGGCCCACCAAGGCGACGAUCCGUAGCUGGUCUGAGAGGAUGAUCAGCCACACUGGAACGGAGACGCGGUCCAGACUCCUACGGGAGGCAGCAGUGGGGAAUAUUGGACAAUGGGCGCAAGCCUGAUCCAGCCAUACCGCGUGGGUGAAGAAGACCUUCGGGUUGUAAAGCCCUUUUGUUGGGAAAGAAAAGCAGCAGGUUAAUACCCCGCUGUUCUGACGGUACCCAAAGAAUAAGCACCGGCUAACUUCGUG